CCGCAAGCCGACGCUCUAUCCACUGAGCCAAAUCGUUGUGGGAAUCACACUACCAGAUUUUUAAGACACAAGCAGCUACAGUAAUCAUGACCAUGUGCUGUUGACAAAAGGUGACACUUAUAGACCAAUGGAAGAGAAUACAAAGCCCAGAAAUAAACCUAUAUCAAAAUGGCUAAUUGAUUCUUGACAAAGAUACAAAAGAAGUUCUUUGG
This is a long non-coding RNA of Pipistrellus kuhlii (Kuhl's pipistrelle), 212 nucleotides long. RefSeq lists it as uncharacterized. The record is from RefSeq and is a predicted model, not a curated record. Lineage: Eukaryota; Metazoa; Chordata; Mammalia; Chiroptera; Vespertilionidae. The transcript has 2 exons.